UACGUAGGAGGCAAGCGUUGUCCGGAAUUACUGGGCGUAAAGCGCGUGUAGGUGGUGGGACAAGUCUGCUGUGAAAGCGCCGGGCUUAACCGGGCGAGGUCGGCGGAAACUGUCCGACUAGAGGACGGUAGAGGGGGGUGGAAUUCCCGGUGUAGUGGUGAAAUGCGUAGAGAUCGGGAGGAACACCUGUGGCGAAGGCGGCCCCCUGGGCCGGCCCUGACGCUGAGACGCGAAGGCGUGGGGAGCGAACGGG
RNAcentral lists this ribosomal RNA (253 nucleotides) under uncultured bacterium. Its description in RNAcentral is "partial 16S ribosomal RNA". It matches the Rfam family "Bacterial small subunit ribosomal RNA", at positions 524 to 776 of the family's 1533-position model. The record is from RNAcentral.